Molecule: ribosomal RNA, 212 nt
Filed under: uncultured bacterium
Lineage: Bacteria
Description: partial 16S ribosomal RNA
Rfam family: Bacterial small subunit ribosomal RNA
Source: RNAcentral
GUUCGGAUUGUAGUCUGCAACNCGACUACAUGAAGCUGGAAUCGCCAGUAAUCGCGGAUCAGAAUGCCGCGGUGAAUACGUUCCCGGGUCUUGUACACACCGCCCGUCACACCAUGGGAGUCAGUAACGCCCGAAGCCGGUGACCCAACCUAUUCUGGAGGGAGCCGUCGAAGGCGGGACGGAUGACUGGGGUGAAGUCGUAACAAGGUAAC